GACGAACGCUGGCGGCGUGCUUAACACAUGCAAGUCGAGCGGUAAGGCCCUUUCGGAGGUACACGAGCGGCGAACGGGUGAGUAACACGUGGGUGACCUGCCCUUAGCUCUGGGAUAAGCCUGGGAAACUGGGUCUAAUACCGGAUAUGACUCCAUAACGCAUGUUGUGGGGUGGAAAGCCUUGUGCGGCUAGGGAUGGGCCCGCGGCCUAUCAGCUUGUUGGUGGGGUGAUGGCCUACCAAGGCGACGACGGGUAGCCGGCCUGAGAGGGCGACCGGCCACACUGGGACUGAGACACGGCCCAGACUCCUACGGGAGGCAGCAGUGGGGAAUCUUGCGCAAUGGGCGAAAGCCUGACGCAGCGACGCCGCGUGGGGA
Molecule: ribosomal RNA, 378 nt
Filed under: uncultured bacterium
Lineage: Bacteria
Description: bacterial SSU rRNA
Rfam family: Bacterial small subunit ribosomal RNA
Source: RNAcentral